Molecule: transfer RNA, 68 nt
Filed under: Brachionus rotundiformis
Lineage: Eukaryota; Metazoa; Rotifera; Eurotatoria; Ploima; Brachionidae
Description: tRNA-Gly
Source: RNAcentral
AUAGCUGUAGUAUAAAUAAUGCUUUUGAUUUCCAAUCAAAGAAUCUCUAUAAAGUUGGAGUAGCUAUA